This 324-nucleotide RNase P RNA is filed under the name Rubrivivax sp. RNAcentral describes it as "RNase P RNA component class A". It matches the Rfam family "Bacterial RNase P class A". From Rfam's summary of the family: Ribonuclease P (RNase P) is a ubiquitous endoribonuclease, found in archaea, bacteria and eukarya as well as chloroplasts and mitochondria. Its best characterised activity is the generation of mature 5'-ends of tRNAs by cleaving the 5'-leader elements of precursor-tRNAs. Lineage: Bacteria; Pseudomonadati; Pseudomonadota; Betaproteobacteria; Burkholderiales; Sphaerotilaceae. The record is from RNAcentral.
GAAGCAGGCCAGACCGCCGCUGGUGCGAUCGUGGAAACACGGCACUGGAGGAAGGUCCGGACUGCACAGGGCGGCGUAGCAGCUAACGGCUGUCCACCGUGAGGUGAGGAUCAGAGCAACAGAGACGAGCCGAUUCAGUUCGGGUGAAACGGGCAAUCUCUACGCGCAGCAAUACCAAGUAGGCACACGUUGACCUGGCCCGGGGAGUGUGCGGGUAGGUAGCACCGAGCCGAAGGGUGAUCUUCGGCCCAGAGGAAUGGCGGUCACGGCGGGGUCUGGCAACAGGGCCUGCCGCACAGAAUCCGGCCUAUCGGUCUGCUUCAC